This 1963-nucleotide long non-coding RNA is filed under the name Homo sapiens (human). RNAcentral describes it as "HSALNT0360484". The record is from RNAcentral. Lineage: Eukaryota; Metazoa; Chordata; Mammalia; Primates; Hominidae.
UUCCUGGAGAGGGGCCCUGGGCUGGGCUCCACAGCAUCUGGGAAGGCAGAGGGCAUUUCUGGGGGAGAGGGCAUGAGCAAGUACGGGGAGGCUGGAUGGGCACAGCACAGGUGAGGGCAGCAGAGGCAGCACCUGGAGAGAGGGCUUUUGUUGGGGGAACGGUGAGAGAUAAGCUCACCCUAGUCCUGGCUUUGGAGAUGAGAAGAAGAAACAAAAAUGAAGCAAAAUACUUGUCACUGUAGAGGAGCUUACAGUCCAGACGACCUGGGAGAAAUGAAUUUGAAAACAAAGGAAGAUUUAGGAGCUGCGCCUGUCAAUGUCAAGGUCCAGCCUGAGCCAUGGAAAAAGAAUAGAAUUGGAGUAAGCCCUGCUGGAGGGCAGACGUCUUCUUCUCUCUGUACUCCCUGCCCAUCCCAGGAAUCUGGACACUGGCGUACUUCCGUGUUAACAUAACGGCUUUAAAAUUUUUCCCGUUAUGAGCUUUAAAGAAGUAAUUUCCAAAUAUUGGUCUUUGUGGAAAAAAUGAGAAAAGAAUCAAGUUUCCCUGGUCUAAGACUAAAUGUGAAAAGUAAAGAAAAUAUAGCGUCAGGAAGACAGAAGAAGCUGGACAGAAAGAGAUCAAGAUUUAACUGGUUAUGCUGUAGACCAUGGCAGAUCGUAACAGAAGACAAAGCCCUUAAAAGAAAUGAAACUAUCCUCAUUAAAGGCCUGAUGGCUCACACCAUCCAGGAGAUCUCCUCUGCUACCAACUCCCAGCAGCUGAUUCAGCGGUCCUUCAUGAACAAUAGGCAACUGAACAAGAAAAUGAGUUUAUAUUGUUCAAAAGAAAGAAGAAUGCCUCUUUUUUCCCUUGAACAAGGGAGGUGGAGACUAACAAAAGAUUCUUUGCUUGACCAAACUUUAGUCAGGCUUCUAAAUCUUCCCCUCGGCCCGUCUGUGCACUUCCUUGUGAAAUCCAGUUUUAGCAAAGAACAUUUGUAAGUCAGUUUAGCAAGAACCCACCUCCCCACCCCCAUCCUCAAUAUCUGAUCAGGUUGCUCAGUUGCCAUCAUCCCCCAGGUGAUGUCUGAUUACCCUAGCCUGUCUUCAGCAAGAAUUCUGUUAGGUCAGUUCAGCCAGAAUCUCCCUUAACUCUUAUGUUUCCUCUCAGUAAUUUUUUUAUUUUUAUUUUAUUAUUAUUUUUUUGAGACAGAGCCUCCCUCUGUCACCCAGGCUGGAGUGCAGUGGCACGAUCUUGGCUCACUGCAACUUCUGCCUCCUGAGUUCAAGUGAUUCUUGUGCCUCAGCCUCCUAAGUGGCUGGGACCAUAGGUGUGUGUUGCCAUACCCAGCUAAUUUUUUUUUUCCUCAAGACGGAGUCUUGCUCUGUCGCCAAGGCUGGAGUGCAAUGGCGCAAUCUCAGCUCACUGCAACUUCUGCCUCUUGGGUUCAAGCAAUUCUCCUGCCUCAGCCUGCCGAGUAGCUGGGAUUACAGGUGCUCGCCACCACGCCCAUCUAAUUUUUUGUAUUUUUAGUAGAGACUAAAAAUAGUCUCUAGACCAUGUUGGCCAGGCUGGUCUUGAACUCCUGACUUUGUGAUCUGCCCACCUCGGCCUCCCAAAGUGCUAGGAUUACAGGCAUGAGCCACUGUGCCCACCCGGUGCCCAGCUGAUUUUUUAUAUUUUUAGUAGAGACUGGGUUUUGCCAUGUUGCCCAGGCUGGUCUUGAACUCCUGAGCUCAGGGCAAUCUGCCUGCCUCGGCCUCUCAGAGUGCUAGGAUUACAGGUAUGAGCCACCGUGCCCGGCCUUCUUCUUAGUAAUUUUCUAUCCACUGACCCCCACACUCUUCAUGGCUAUAAAUUCCUAUAUAAUUGCAUAAAUUCUACGCAAUCUCUCUCCCCAACUCUGAGACCCCAUUGCAGUGGUACCCUAUAACUAUGUCAAUGGCCCUGAAUAAAGUCUUCCUUACCAUGCUUUAACAAGUA